Molecule: RNase P RNA, 375 nt
Filed under: Puniceicoccales bacterium
Lineage: Bacteria; Pseudomonadati; Verrucomicrobiota; Opitutia; Puniceicoccales
Description: RNase P RNA component class A
Rfam family: Bacterial RNase P class A
About the family: Ribonuclease P (RNase P) is a ubiquitous endoribonuclease, found in archaea, bacteria and eukarya as well as chloroplasts and mitochondria. Its best characterised activity is the generation of mature 5'-ends of tRNAs by cleaving the 5'-leader elements of precursor-tRNAs.
Source: RNAcentral
CGGGGGAAGUAAGUAUUCGCUCAUUGCGAUGGUUUACUAAGCAGUGAGAGGAAAGUCCGGACACCGCAGAGCAGAAUUCCCAAUGAAAAUUGGGGUGGGUCACCGCAAGGUGGCUCAACGGAAAGCGCAACAGAGAGCAAACCGCCCAUGGCAAAUGGGUAAGGGUGAAAUGGCGUGGUAAGAGCACACCGCAUCGGUGAGCAAUCACCGUGGCAAGGCAAGCCCAAUUCGGUGCAAGACGGAAUAGGAAGUGGAGCUGCUCGCUCAGACACUUCGGGUACGUCGCAUCCGCGCAAGUGGAAAUAUCGCGAGAUAUUAGAUAAAUGAAUACAUCGGGAAACCGACACAGAAUCCGGCUUAUUCUUCCCUCUACGA